This 452-nucleotide ribosomal RNA is filed under the name uncultured bacterium. Its description in RNAcentral is "bacterial SSU rRNA". It matches the Rfam family "Bacterial small subunit ribosomal RNA", at positions 8 to 507 of the family's 1533-position model. The record is from RNAcentral.
AGAGUUUGAUCAUGGCUCAGAACGAACGCUGGCGGCAUGCCUAACACAUGCAAGUCGAACGAAGCCUUCGGGCUUAGUGGCGCACGGGUGCGUAACACGUGGGAAUCUGCCCUUCGGUUCGGAAUAACAGUUAGAAAUGACUGCUAAUACCGGAUGAUGACGAAAGUCCAAAGAUUUAUCGCCGAAGGAUGAGCCCGCGUAGGAUUAGGUAGUUGGUAGGGUAAUGGCCUACCAAGCCGACGAUCCUUAGCUGGUCUGAGAGGAUGAUCAGCCACACUGGGACUGAGACACGGCCCAGACUCCUACGGGAGGCAGCAGUGGGGAAUAUUGGACAAUGGGCGAAAGCCUGAUCCAGCAAUGCCGCGUGAGUGAUGAAGGCCUUAGGGUUGUAAAGCUCUUUACCAGGGAUGAUAAUGACAGUACCUGGAGAAUAAGCUCCGGCUAACUCCGUG